GAUGAACGCUGGCGGCGUGCCUAAUACAUGCAAGUCGAGCGAACGGACGAGAAGCUUGCUUCUCUGAUGUUAGCGGCGGACGGGUGAGUAACACGUGGAUAACCUACCUAUAAGACUGGGAUAACUUCGGGAAACCGGAGCUAAUACCGGAUAAUAUUUUGAACCGCAUGGUUCAAAAGUGAAAGACGGUCUUGCUGUCACUUAUAGAUGGAUCCGCGCUGCAUUAGCUAGUUGGUAAGGUAACGGCUUACCAAGGCAACGAUGCAUAGCCGACCUGAGAGGGUGAUCGGCCACACUGGAACUGAGCCACGGUCCAGACUCCUACGGGAGGCAGCAGUAGGGACUCUUCCGCAAUGGGCGAAAGCCUGACGGAGCAACGCCGCGUGAGUGAUGAAGGUCUUCGGAUCGUAAAACUCUGUUAUUAGGGAAGAACAGAUGUGUAAGUAACUGUGCACAUCUUGACGGUACCUAAUCAGAAAGCCCCGGCUAACUACGU
Molecule: ribosomal RNA, 496 nt
Filed under: uncultured bacterium
Lineage: Bacteria
Description: partial 16S ribosomal RNA
Rfam family: Bacterial small subunit ribosomal RNA
Source: RNAcentral